Molecule: long non-coding RNA, 212 nt
Filed under: Musa acuminata (dwarf banana)
Lineage: Eukaryota; Viridiplantae; Streptophyta; Magnoliopsida; Zingiberales; Musaceae
Description: long non-coding RNA (MACU_LNC004260)
Source: RNAcentral
GCAGGAAGGAGGACAAGCACAAGUAAUGUAGAACUUCUAGUGGAACAGGAGCUACCGGUUGUGUUGCUGCACCUUUUGCGUUCCCUCAAAAUUGCCGUACUCUCUCACAGCUCUCCGUGUUUGCGGAUGUGUAAUUCCUUGAUGGUUUCCACUUGGCAUGUGCAGUCCUUCAAGGUCUGAAGCUGGCGGAUGUGGCCAAGUGGUGGCCAUGG